AAUUUAACGAUGAAGAGUUUGAUCCUGGCUCAGGAUGAACGCUAGCGGCAGGCUUAACACAUGCAAGUCGAGGGGUAGCAGGGAGCUUGCUCCGCUGAC
Molecule: ribosomal RNA, 99 nt
Filed under: Gaetbulibacter sp. 5U11
Lineage: Bacteria; Pseudomonadati; Bacteroidota; Flavobacteriia; Flavobacteriales; Flavobacteriaceae
Description: partial 16S ribosomal RNA
Rfam family: Bacterial small subunit ribosomal RNA
Source: RNAcentral